Molecule: non-coding RNA, 31 nt
Filed under: Homo sapiens (human)
Lineage: Eukaryota; Metazoa; Chordata; Mammalia; Primates; Hominidae
Source: RNAcentral
UACCACAGGAAACACAAGCCCCCAACGCCAU